This 497-nucleotide ribosomal RNA is filed under the name uncultured bacterium. Its description in RNAcentral is "partial 16S ribosomal RNA". It matches the Rfam family "Bacterial small subunit ribosomal RNA", at positions 28 to 507 of the family's 1533-position model. The record is from RNAcentral.
GAUGAACGCUGGCGGCGUGCCUAAUACAUGCAAGUCGAGCGAACAGACUAGGAGCUUGCUCCUCUGACGUUAGCGACGGACUGGGAAUUAACACGUGGAUAACCUACCUAUAAUACUGGGAUAACUUCGUGACACCGGAUCUAAUACCGGAUAAUAUAUUUCACCGCAUGGUUCACUCGUGAAAGACGGUUUUGCUGUCACUUAUAGAUGCAUCCGCGCCGCCUUAGCUAGUUGGUAAUGUAACGGCUUACCAAGGCAACGAUGCGUAGCCGACCCGAGAGGGUGAUCGGACACCCUGGAACUGAGAAACGGCCCCGACUCCUACGGGAGGCAGCAGUAGGGAAUCUUCCGCAAUAGGCGAAAGCCUGACGGAGCAACGCCGCGUGAGUGAUGAAGGUCUUCGGAUCGUAAAACUCUGUUAUUAGGGAAGAACAAAUGUGUAAGUAACUAUGCACGUCUUGACGGUACCUAAUCAGAAAGCCACGGCUAACUACGUG